GACGAACGCUGGCGGCGUGCUUAACACAUGCAAGUCGAACGGAAAGGCCCUGCUUUUGUGGGGUGCUCGAGUGGCGAACGGGUGAGUAACACGUGAGUAACCUGCCCUUGACUUUGGGAUAACUUCAGGAAACUGGGGCUAAUACCGGAUAGGAGCUCCUGCUGCAUGGUGGGGGUUGGAAAGUUUCGGCGGUUGGGGAUGGACUCGCGGCUUAUCAGCUUGUUGGUGGGGUAGUGGCUUACCAAGGUUUUGACGGGUAGCCGGCCUGAGAGGGUGACCGGCCACAUGGGGACUGAGAGACGGAGCAGACUCCUACGGGAGGCAGCAGUGGGGAAUAUGGCACAAUGGGCGGAAGCCUGAUGCAGCAACGCCGCGUGCGGGAUGACGGCCUUCGGGUUGUAAACCGCUGUCGCCUGUGACGAAGCGUGAGUGACGGUAAUGGGUAAAGAAGCACCGGCUAACUACGUG
This 468-nucleotide ribosomal RNA is filed under the name uncultured bacterium. RNAcentral describes it as "partial 16S ribosomal RNA". It matches the Rfam family "Bacterial small subunit ribosomal RNA", at positions 28 to 507 of the family's 1533-position model. The record is from RNAcentral.